GAUGAAGAACGCAGCGAAAUGCGAUAAGUAAUGUGAAUUACAGAAUUUAGUGAAUCAUCGAAUCUUUGAACGCAUAUUGCGCCCGCCAGCACUCUGGCGGGCAUGCCUGUUCGAGCGUCAUUUCAACCCUCAGGCCUCGCGUCUGGCGUUGGGGCGCUGCGGCCCUCCCGCAGGCCCCCAAAUUUAGCGGCGGAUUCCCCGCGGCCCUGAGCGCAGUAGAGAGUAAAAACUUUAACGCUCCGGCGGCCGUGGCGCGGUUCUGCCUCUUUCCCAAUAGCGCCAAUAGCGCCACCCCCAAAAAAGUUGACCUCGGAUCAGGUAGGACUACCCGCUGAACUUAAGCAUAUCAAUAAGCGGAGGA
RNAcentral lists this unclassified non-coding RNA (361 nucleotides) under soil metagenome. RNAcentral describes it as "partial contains 5.8S ribosomal RNA, internal transcribed spacer 2, and large subunit ribosomal RNA". The stretch from base 1 to 120 matches the Rfam family "5.8S ribosomal RNA", at positions 35 to 154 of the family's 154-position model. The record is from RNAcentral.